RNAcentral lists this non-coding RNA (31 nucleotides) under Rattus norvegicus (Norway rat). The record is from RNAcentral. Lineage: Eukaryota; Metazoa; Chordata; Mammalia; Rodentia; Muridae.
UCAGUGUGGCAGCUUAUACUGUCCUGGUGGC